Chelonia mydas (Green sea turtle) is the source of this 250-nucleotide long non-coding RNA. RefSeq lists it as uncharacterized. The record is from RefSeq and is a predicted model, not a curated record. The transcript has 3 exons. NCBI's taxonomy places the organism in Eukaryota, Metazoa, Chordata, Testudines, Cheloniidae.
AUAAGGGGACAGAGCAGGGACAGGGCUGGAACUAUGCUGUAAGAAGUUUGGGGCCAGGUAUGAAAAAUCAUCUGAAUCAGACCUAGAAACUACUCACUUGAAACCUCCAGAUAUGUAAGUAGUUCAGGAAAUGUCUAGGAAGAUGCGAUUAGCUUUAUUUCUUUGUAUUUCUCUAUGGCUUGUGGACUCCACUGUGCUAGCCCCAAAUGUUUUUGUUUUGCUUGUAACCUUUAAACUGGACUUCAAGAAG